This 681-nucleotide ribosomal RNA is filed under the name uncultured bacterium. RNAcentral describes it as "bacterial SSU rRNA". It matches the Rfam family "Bacterial small subunit ribosomal RNA", at positions 26 to 694 of the family's 1533-position model. The record is from RNAcentral.
AGGACGAACGCUGGCGGCGCGCUUAACACAUGCAAGUCGAGCGAUAACCAUGGCUUCGGCCAUGGGGAGAGCGGCGAACGGGUGAGUAACACGUGAGUGAUCUGCCCUCGACNCUGGGAUAGCCCGGGGAAACCCGGAUNAAUACCGGAUAGCCUCUCGAGCUCUCGGGCUCGUGAGAAAAGAUGGNUUCNGCUUUCGGUUGAGGAGGAGCCUGCGGCGGAUUAGCUUGUUGGUGAGGUAACGGCCCACCAAGGCGACGAUCCGUAGCUGGUCUGAGAGGACGAUCAGCCACACUGGGACUGAGACACGGCCCAGACUCCUACGGGAGGCAGCAGUGGGGAAUCUUGCGCAAUGGGCGAAAGCCUGACGCAGCGACGCCGCGUGAGGGAAGAAGGCCUUCGGGUUGUAAACCUCUUUCAGGAGGGACGAANCUACUCGGGUUAAUAGCCCAGAGGGUGACGGUACCUCCAGAANAAGCCCCGGNUAACUACNUGCCANCAGCCGCGGNAAUACNUAGGGGGCAAGCGUUGUCCGGAUUUAUUGGGCGUAAAGCGCGUGUAGGCGGCCAGAUAAGUCCGCUGUGAAAACUCGAAGCUCAACUUCNAGCUGUCGGUGGAAACUAUUUGGCUAGAGUCCGGAAGAGGAGAGUGGAAUUCCUGGUGUAGCGGUGAAAUGCGUAGA